This 253-nucleotide ribosomal RNA is filed under the name uncultured bacterium. Its description in RNAcentral is "partial 16S ribosomal RNA". It matches the Rfam family "Bacterial small subunit ribosomal RNA", at positions 524 to 776 of the family's 1533-position model. The record is from RNAcentral.
UACGUAGGGUGCGAGCGUUGUCCGGACUUACUGGGCGUAAAGAGCUUGUCGGUGGUUUGUCGCGUUGUUCGUGAAAUCUCACGGCUUAACUGUGAGCGUGCGGGCGAUACGGGCAGACUAGAGUACUGCAGGGGAGACUGGAAUUCCUGGUGUAGCGGUGGAAUGCGCAGAUAUCAGGAGGAACACCAGUGGCGAAGGCGGCGACCUGGGCCAAUACUGACGCUGAGGUGCGAAAGCGUGGGGAGCGAACAGG